CAAGGUUGAGUUUUUAGAAUAUUACUUUUGGGUUGUAAAGGUUUUUUCCUUGG
Molecule: transfer RNA, 53 nt
Filed under: Enterobius vermicularis (human pinworm)
Lineage: Eukaryota; Metazoa; Nematoda; Chromadorea; Rhabditida; Oxyuridae
Description: tRNA-Pro
Source: RNAcentral